GAUGAAGAACGUAGCGAAAUGCGAUACUUGGUGUGAAUUGCAGAAUCCCGUGAACCAUCGAGUCUUUGAACGCAAGUUGCGCCCGAAGCCAUCAGGUUGAGGGCACGUCUGCCUGGGCGUCACAUAUCGUUGCCCAAUGCCUAUUGCAGUGCAAUAGGAAUUUCUAGGGCGAAUGAUGGCUUCCCGUGAGCGUUGUUGCCUCGCGGUUGGUUGAAAAUCGAGUCCUUGGUAGGGUGGGCCAUGGUUGGUGGUGGUCGAGUUAGAACGAUACCGAUCAUGUGCAUGCUCCCCAAAAUAUGGCCUCUAUGACCCACACACGUCUUUUGACGCUCAUGACGAGACCUCAGGUCAGGCGGGGCUACCCGCUGAAUUUAAGCAUAUCAAUAAGCGGAGGA
Molecule: unclassified non-coding RNA, 395 nt
Filed under: soil metagenome
Description: partial contains 5.8S ribosomal RNA, internal transcribed spacer 2, and large subunit ribosomal RNA
Rfam family: 5.8S ribosomal RNA (bases 1-122)
Source: RNAcentral